UUACAGGCGUGAGCCACCGCGCCCGGCCGAGGCUCAAUCUUUGUUUCACUUUAUUUCUCAGAAGAGAAUGACAAGAAGGUAUCUCCUGUGGAAUAUGCACUUAUCACUCCUAAUUCACUGAGACGCAGUAGACCCGAAUGAUCUAAAGAAGAGUUUACUUUUGGAAGAUUAUGAGAAGAGGAAAGUAAGAGUGAAAGCAAUAGUGUUAUGUGACUUGAUCUCCAUUUGAAAUCCUCUCCUCGUCUGACUAGUUUGUUUUCCAGUCAGCCUUAUUACCUAUUCACACACUGAUUGCCAAAUAAGCUCCAUGAGGCUCAUAGGUGGAAGGAACUUGCAUCUCUUGGAUGAGAC
Long non-coding RNA from Homo sapiens (human), 351 nucleotides. RefSeq lists it as uncharacterized. The transcript has 3 exons. NCBI's taxonomy places the organism in Eukaryota, Metazoa, Chordata, Mammalia, Primates, Hominidae. The record is from RefSeq and is a predicted model, not a curated record.